RNAcentral lists this ribosomal RNA (406 nucleotides) under uncultured bacterium. RNAcentral describes it as "bacterial SSU rRNA". It matches the Rfam family "Bacterial small subunit ribosomal RNA", at positions 355 to 776 of the family's 1533-position model. The record is from RNAcentral.
UGAGGAAUAUUCCACAAUGGGCGAAAGCCUGAUGGAGCAACGCCGCGUGCAGGAUGAAGGCCCUCGGGUCGUAAACUGCUUUUAUGAGUGAAGAAUUUGACGGUAACUCAUGAAUAAGCACCGGCUAACUACGUGCCAGCAGCCGCGGUCAUACGUAGGGUGCAAGCAUUAUCCGGAGUGACUGGGCGUAAAGAGUUGCGUAGGUGGUCAAGUUAGCGAAUAGUGAAAUCUGGUGGCUCAACCAUUCAGACUAUUGUUCGAACUGCUUGACUCGAGAGUAGCAGAGGUAACUGGAAUUUCUAGUGUAGGAGUGAAAUCCGUAGAUAUUAGAAGGAACACCAAUGGCGUAGGCAGGUUACUAGGCUAUUUCUGACACUGAGGCACGAAAGCGUGGGGAGCGAACGGG